CCUACGGGUGGCUGCAGUGGGGAAUAUUGGACAAUGGGGGGAACCCUGAUCCAGCCAUGCCGCGUGUGUGAAGAAGGCCCUCGGGUUGUAAAGCACUUUCAGUGAGGAAGAACGCCUGGUGGUUAAUACCCAUCAGGAAAGACAUCACUCACAGAAGAAGCACCGGCUAACUCCGUGCCAGCAGCCGCGGUAAUACGGAGGGUGCGAGUGUUAAUCGGAAUUACUGGGCGUAAAGCGCGCGUAGGUGGCUUGAUAAGCCGGUUGUGAAAGCCCCGGGCUCAACCUGGGAACGGCAUCCGGAACUGUCAAGCUAGAGUGCAGGAGAGGAAGGUAGAAUUCCCGGUGUAGCGGUGAAAUGCGUAGAGAUCGGGAGGAAUACCAGUGGCGAAGGCGGCCUUCUGGACUGACACUGACACUGAGGUGCGAAAGCGUGGGUAGCAAACAGGAUUAGAUACCCCGGUAGUC
RNAcentral lists this ribosomal RNA (465 nucleotides) under Vreelandella stevensii. RNAcentral describes it as "partial 16S ribosomal RNA". It matches the Rfam family "Bacterial small subunit ribosomal RNA", at positions 338 to 795 of the family's 1533-position model. Lineage: Bacteria; Pseudomonadati; Pseudomonadota; Gammaproteobacteria; Oceanospirillales; Halomonadaceae. The record is from RNAcentral.